RNAcentral lists this microRNA precursor (75 nucleotides) under Myotis lucifugus (little brown bat). RNAcentral describes it as "mir-9193 microRNA precursor family". It matches the Rfam family "mir-9193 microRNA precursor family". The record is from Rfam by way of RNAcentral. Lineage: Eukaryota; Metazoa; Chordata; Mammalia; Chiroptera; Vespertilionidae.
CUUGGGGGGAGGGGGGUUCCUCAGCCUGGAUUGUGAGAGGGUGCAGGCCAAGCUGAGGGACCCCACCUGUGUACA